RNAcentral lists this ribosomal RNA (180 nucleotides) under uncultured bacterium. RNAcentral's name for it is "partial 16S ribosomal RNA". It matches the Rfam family "Bacterial small subunit ribosomal RNA", at positions 617 to 796 of the family's 1533-position model. RNAcentral also lists the same sequence under 1 other name. The record is from RNAcentral.
GGAACUGCAUUUGAAACUGGCAAGCUAGAGUCUUGUAGAGGGGGGUAGAAUUCCAGGUGUAGCGGUGAAAUGCGUAGAGAUCUGGAGGAAUACCGGUGGCGAAGGCGGCCCCCUGGACAAAGACUGACGCUCAGGUGCGAAAGCGUGGGGAGCAAACAGGAUUAGAUACCCUGGUAGUCC